This 76-nucleotide transfer RNA is filed under the name Rhodoferax sp. RNAcentral's name for it is "tRNA-Lys". It matches the Rfam family "tRNA". From Rfam's summary of the family: Transfer RNA (tRNA) molecules are approximately 80 nucleotides in length. Their secondary structure includes four short double-helical elements and three loops (D, anti-codon, and T loops). Lineage: Bacteria; Pseudomonadati; Pseudomonadota; Betaproteobacteria; Burkholderiales; Comamonadaceae. The record is from RNAcentral.
GGGUUCUUAGCUCAGUUGGUAGAGCAGCGGACUUUUUAUCCGUUUGUCGUGGGUUCGACCCCCGCAGGACCCACCA